This 438-nucleotide ribosomal RNA is filed under the name uncultured bacterium. Its description in RNAcentral is "partial 16S ribosomal RNA". It matches the Rfam family "Bacterial small subunit ribosomal RNA", at positions 339 to 795 of the family's 1533-position model. The record is from RNAcentral.
CUACGGGGUGCACCAGUGAGGAAUAUUGCACAAUGGGGGGAACCCUGAUGCAGCAACGCCGCGUGGAGGAUGACGCAUUUCGGUGUGUAAACUCCUUUUAUAUGUCAAGAAAAUGACGGUAGCAUAUGAAUAAGCACCGGCUAACUCCGUGCCAGCAGCCGCGGUAAUACGGAGGGUGCAAGCGUUACGCGGAAUCACUGGGCGUAAAGGACGCGUAGGCGGGUUGGAAAGUCAGGUGUGAAAUCCUACAGCUUAACUGUAGAACUGCACUUGAAACUUCUAAUCUAGAGUAUGGGAGGGGGAGAUGGAAUUAGUGGUGUAGGGGUAAAAUCCGUAGAUAUCACUAGGAAUACCUAAAGCGAAGGCGAUCUCCUGGAACAUUACUGACGCUAAGGCGUGAAAGCGUGGGGAGCAAACAGGAUUGAUACCCCCGUAGUC